RNAcentral lists this small nucleolar RNA (151 nucleotides) under Echinops telfairi (small Madagascar hedgehog). Its description in RNAcentral is "Small nucleolar RNA SNORA42/SNORA80 family (ENSETEG00000023188.1)". It matches the Rfam family "Small nucleolar RNA SNORA42/SNORA80 family". Rfam says of the family: The members of this family belong to the H/ACA class of snoRNAs that guide the sites of modification of uridines to pseudouridines. The record is from RNAcentral. Lineage: Eukaryota; Metazoa; Chordata; Mammalia; Afrosoricida; Tenrecidae.
GCAUGGACUCAAUGGCAGUAGGUGGAUUUAAACACAAAACAAGUACCCACGGGCCUCUCAUCAUGUCCCACGCCAGAGCCAACCACAGCCCCGGACCAUUGCCUUGUCUACUAGCCCAUAGGCUUCUGGCACUCAAGUGGGUUGCACAGUU